UGCGUAGGUGGGUCUGUAAGUCCGUGGUGAAAUCUCCGAGCUUAACUUGGAAACUGCCAUGGAUACUAUAGGUCUUGAAUACCGUGGAGGUCAGCGGAAUAUGUCAUGUAGCGGUGAAAUGCUUAGAUAUGACAUAGAACACCAAUUGCGAAGGCAGCUGGCUACACGAAUAUUGACACUCAGGCACGAAAGCGUGGGGAUCAAACA
This 207-nucleotide ribosomal RNA is filed under the name uncultured bacterium. Its description in RNAcentral is "partial 16S ribosomal RNA". It matches the Rfam family "Bacterial small subunit ribosomal RNA", at positions 568 to 774 of the family's 1533-position model. The record is from RNAcentral.